GCCCAUAUAGUUAAACGGAUAUAACAAGCCCCUCCUAAGGGCUAGUUCGUGGUUCGAUUCCGCGUAUGGCGUCCCA
Molecule: transfer RNA, 76 nt
Filed under: Listeria monocytogenes
Lineage: Bacteria; Bacillati; Bacillota; Bacilli; Caryophanales; Listeriaceae
Description: tRNA-Arg
Rfam family: tRNA
About the family: Transfer RNA (tRNA) molecules are approximately 80 nucleotides in length. Their secondary structure includes four short double-helical elements and three loops (D, anti-codon, and T loops).
Source: RNAcentral